UUUCUCUUUGGUUUCACACAGGUUGUCAUCAUCAAAAAGGGGGAAUAUGUAAGGGAAAACUGUCAUACAACAUAUGAUCAUAGGUUUCGAUGAUGACAAAUGACCACCAUGGAUGAAUCGGCAUUGUCGAUUCCACCUCUACAAAACAAAUGCAACAUAUCACCAAUCAUAUCCUUUUCUAUGCUCAUCUAAACUGUUAUAUCUCAUACAACAUAUGUGGAUAAAAUAUGGUCAUG
Molecule: long non-coding RNA, 236 nt
Filed under: Lathyrus oleraceus (garden pea)
Lineage: Eukaryota; Viridiplantae; Streptophyta; Magnoliopsida; Fabales; Fabaceae
Description: Pisum sativum (pea) long non-coding RNA (PSAT_LNC001285)
Source: RNAcentral